This 1483-nucleotide ribosomal RNA is filed under the name Lacticaseibacillus paracasei. Its description in RNAcentral is "bacterial SSU rRNA". It matches the Rfam family "Bacterial small subunit ribosomal RNA". The record is from RNAcentral. Lineage: Bacteria; Bacillati; Bacillota; Bacilli; Lactobacillales; Lactobacillaceae.
UAUACAUGCAGUCGAACGAGUUCUCGUUGAUGAUCGGUGCUUGCACCGAGAUUCAACAUGGAACGAGUGGCGGACGGGUGAGUAACACGUGGGUAACCUGCCCUUAAGUGGGGGAUAACAUUUGGAAACAGAUGCUAAUACCGCAUAGAUCCAAGAACCGCAUGGUUCUUGGCUGAAAGAUGGCGUAAGCUAUCGCUUUUGGAUGGACCCGCGGCGUAUUAGCUAGUUGGUGAGGUAAUGGCUCACCAAGGCGAUGAUACGUAGCCGAACUGAGAGGUUGAUCGGCCACAUUGGGACUGAGACACGGCCCAAACUCCUACGGGAGGCAGCAGUAGGGAAUCUUCCACAAUGGACGCAAGUCUGAUGGAGCAACGCCGCGUGAGUGAAGAAGGCUUUCGGGUCGUAAAACUCUGUUGUUGGAGAAGAAUGGUCGGCAGAGUAACUGUUGUCGGCGUGACGGUAUCCAACCAGAAAGCCACGGCUAACUACGUGCCAGCAGCCGCGGUAAUACGUAGGUGGCAAGCGUUAUCCGGAUUUAUUGGGCGUAAAGCGAGCGCAGGCGGUUUUUUAAGUCUGAUGUGAAAGCCCUCGGCUUAACCGAGGAAGCGCAUCGGAAACUGGGAAACUUGAGUGCAGAAGAGGACAGUGGAACUCCAUGUGUAGCGGUGAAAUGCGUAGAUAUAUGGAAGAACACCAGUGGCGAAGGCGGCUGUCUGGUCUGUAACUGACGCUGAGGCUCGAAAGCAUGGGUAGCGAACAGGAUUAGAUACCCUGGUAGUCCAUGCCGUAAACGAUGAAUGCUAGGUGUUGGAGGGUUUCCGCCCUUCAGUGCCGCAGCUAACGCAUUAAGCAUUCCGCCUGGGGAGUACGACCGCAAGGUUGAAACUCAAAGGAAUUGACGGGGGCCCGCACAAGCGGUGGAGCAUGUGGUUUAAUUCGAAGCAACGCGAAGAACCUUACCAGGUCUUGACAUCUUUUGAUCACCUGAGAGAUCAGGUUUCCCCUUCGGGGGCAAAAUGACAGGUGGUGCAUGGUUGUCGUCAGCUCGUGUCGUGAGAUGUUGGGUUAAGUCCCGCAACGAGCGCAACCCUUAUGACUAGUUGCCAGCAUUUAGUUGGGCACUCUAGUAAGACUGCCGGUGACAAACCGGAGGAAGGUGGGGAUGACGUCAAAUCAUCAUGCCCCUUAUGACCUGGGCUACACACGUGCUACAAUGGAUGGUACAACGAGUUGCGAGACCGCGAGGUCAAGCUAAUCUCUUAAAGCCAUUCUCAGUUCGGACUGUAGGCUGCAACUCGCCUACACGAAGUCGGAAUCGCUAGUAAUCGCGGAUCAGCACGCCGCGGUGAAUACGUUCCCGGGCCUUGUACACACCGCCCGUCACACCAUGAGAGUUUGUAACACCCGAAGCCGGUGGCGUAACCCUUUUAGGGAGCGAGCCGUCUAAGGUGGGACAAAUGAUUAGGGUGAAGUCGUAACACGA